ACUCCUACGGGAGGCAGCAGUGGGGAAUCUUAGACAAUGGGGGCAACCCUGAUCUAGCCAUGCCGCGUGAGUGAUGAAGGCCCUAGGGUUGUAAAGCUCUUUCAGCUGGGAAGAUAAUGACUGUACCAGCCAAAGAAGCCCCGGCUAACUCCGUGCCAGCAGCCGCGGUAAU
This 172-nucleotide ribosomal RNA is filed under the name uncultured bacterium. RNAcentral's name for it is "partial 16S ribosomal RNA". It matches the Rfam family "Bacterial small subunit ribosomal RNA", at positions 335 to 524 of the family's 1533-position model. The record is from RNAcentral.